Molecule: ribosomal RNA, 905 nt
Filed under: Cyphononyx sp. PO875
Lineage: Eukaryota; Metazoa; Arthropoda; Insecta; Hymenoptera; Pompilidae
Description: eukaryotic LSU rRNA
Rfam family: Eukaryotic large subunit ribosomal RNA
Source: RNAcentral
GGGUAAACCUGAGAAACCCGAAAAUUCGAAUGGGGAGAUUCAUCGUCAGUGGAGCUGGCUUCGCGGUGGUUGGCGAUGUCUGGGACUUCGGUUUCAUGGCACGUCGCCGCUGUGUAUGUCUGGUAACGCCGUCGUGCACUUCUCCCCUAGUAGGACGUCGCGACCCGCUGGGUGUUGGACUACGGCCUGGAUGGUAGCCUGUUCCGUCGCUUCGGCGUUCGGGGCAGACCUCCGGUGUGUCUCUCCUGUCCAACUGCUCGGCGGUAUUGUGCGAGAGUAGUCGGCCGCAAUUCAAUUGUUGUGCUAACAUAAAUUGCGUCAUUGGCCCGUGGCAAACCAGGUCAGUGCUCCGGUGGGCGUCCGUCAGAGCCGUCCCUGGGCCUGUCCAGUUGUUGGCUAUCGGUGUUCUCUGACUGGCCAUUUUACUUGUUUGCGACGCUAUUGCUUUGGGUACUCUCAGGACCCGUCUUGAAACACGGACCAAGGAGUCUAACAUGUGCGCGAGUCAUUGGGAUAACAAAACCUAAAGGCGAAAUGAAAGUGAAUGUUGACCUUGCGUCGACAGAGGGAGGAUGGAUAGGCAUACGCCUGCCUCGCACUCCCGGGGCGUCUCGUUCUCAUUGCGAGAAGAGGCGCACCUAGAGCGUACACGUUGGGACCCGAAAGAUGGUGAACUAUGCCUGGUGAGGACGAAGUCAGGGGAAACCCUGAUGGAGGUCCGUAGCGAUUCUGACGUGCAAAUCGAUCGUCGGAACUGGGUAUAGGGGCGAAAGACUAAUCGAACCAUCUAGUAGCUGGUUCCCUCCGAAGUUUCCCUCAGGAUAGCUGGCACUCGAACGAACACUUCGAACGUUUAUACAGUCUCAUCUGGUCAAGCGAAUGAUUAGAGGCCUUGGGGCCGAAAC